AACAAUGUAAAGAGAGUUUUUCUACUCUUAAAGGCAGCAUAUAACAUUGGGGGUCACAUCAUCAGUGCAGACACUAUACAGAGUUCUGUCCUAGGUUGCAGAAUGUCUCGUCCUGGGCAGCCAAAUUUAAAUGCAUCAUCCAAGGUUUUCUUAAGUGAGCGUGCUGUUCCCGUUGCAAUAUUUGAAACUGAUGCUGAAAUAAUGAAGCAUUAUGUGCGGAGAUGGUGCAAGAUUUCAUCAGAUGUGGGCAUUCGAUCCAUUAUUGACUGGUG
Molecule: long non-coding RNA, 272 nt
Organism: Quercus lobata
Lineage: Eukaryota; Viridiplantae; Streptophyta; Magnoliopsida; Fagales; Fagaceae
Exons: 4
Source: RefSeq, a predicted model, not a curated record